UAGGGAAUCUUCGGCAAUGGACGAAAGUCUGACCGAGCAACGCCGCGCGAGUGAAGAAGGUUUUCGGAUCGUAAAACUCUGUUGUUAGAGAAGAACAAGGACGUUAGUAACUGAACGUCCCCUGACGGUAUCUAACCAGAAAGCCACGGCUAACUACAUGCCAGCAGCCGCGGUAAUACGUAGGUGGCAAGCGUUGUCCGGAUUUAUUGGGCGUAAAGCGAGCGCAGGCGGUUUCUUAAGUCUGAUGUGAAAGCCCCCGGCUCAACCGGGGAGGUUCAUUGGGAACUGGGGGACUUGAGUGCAGAAGAGGGGAGUGGAAUUCCAGGUGUAGCGGUGAAAUGCGUAGAUAUAGGGAGGAACGCCAGUGGCGAAGGCGGCUAUCUGGUCUGUAACUGACGCUGAGGCUCGAAGGCGUGGGGAGCAAACAGG
Molecule: ribosomal RNA, 429 nt
Filed under: Gemmatimonadota bacterium
Lineage: Bacteria; Pseudomonadati; Gemmatimonadota
Description: Gemmatimonadetes bacterium partial 16S ribosomal RNA
Rfam family: Bacterial small subunit ribosomal RNA
Source: RNAcentral